CGUGUCGUGAGAUGUUGGGUUAAGUCCCGCAACGAGCGCAACCCUUGGUUCUAGUUGCCAGCAUUCAGUUGGGCACUCUAGAGCGACUGCCGGCGACAAGUCGGAGGAAGGUGGGGAUGACGUCAAAUCAUCAUGCCCCUUAUGACCUGGGCUACACACGUGCUACAAUGGAUGGUACAAAGGGCAGCGAAGCGGCGACGCAUAAGCGAAUCCCAGAAAACCAUUCUCAGUUCGGAUUGCAGGCUGCAACUCGCCUGCAUGAAGCCGGAAUCGCUAGUAAUCGCGGAUCAGCAUGCCGCGGUGAAUACGUUCCCGGGCCUUGUACACACCGCCCGUCACACCACGAGAGUUUGUAACACCCGAAGUCGGUGAGGUAACCGCAAGGAGCCAGCCGCCGAAGGUGGGACAGAUGAUUGGGGU
This 420-nucleotide ribosomal RNA is filed under the name uncultured bacterium. RNAcentral describes it as "bacterial SSU rRNA". It matches the Rfam family "Bacterial small subunit ribosomal RNA", at positions 1061 to 1481 of the family's 1533-position model. The record is from RNAcentral.